CGACCGGCGCACGGGUGAGUAACGCGUAUCCAACCUGCCUUACACUCUUGGACAGCCUUCUGAAAGGGAGAUUAAUACGAGAUGUUAUCAUGAGUAAGCAUUUUCACAUGAUUAAAGGUUUACCGGUGUAAGAUGGGGAUGCGUUCCAUUAGAUAGUAGGCGGGGUAACGGCCCACCUAGUCUUCGAUGGAUAGGGGUUCUGAGAGGAAGGUCCCCCACAUUGGACUGAGACACGGCCAA
Molecule: ribosomal RNA, 240 nt
Filed under: uncultured bacterium
Lineage: Bacteria
Description: partial 16S ribosomal RNA
Rfam family: Bacterial small subunit ribosomal RNA
Source: RNAcentral